Molecule: ribosomal RNA, 424 nt
Filed under: uncultured prokaryote
Description: bacterial SSU rRNA
Rfam family: Bacterial small subunit ribosomal RNA
Source: RNAcentral
UGGGGAAUAUUGCACAAUGGGCGCAAGCCUGAUGCAGCCAUGCCGCGUGAGUGAAGAAGGCCCUAGGGUUGUAAAGCUCUUUCAGUGGUGAAGAUAAUGACGGUAGCCACAGAAGAAGCCCCGGCCAACUCCGUGCCAGCAGCCGCGGUAAUACGGAGGGGGCUAGCGUUGUUCGGAAUGACUGGGCGUAAAGCGCGCGCAGGUGGCCCGUUAAGUCGGCUGUGAAAUCCCCUGGCUCAACCAGGGAAGUGCAGUCGAUACUGGCGGGCUCGAGUCCCGGAGAGGGUGGUAGAAUUCCCAGUGUAGAGGUGAAAUUCGUAGAUAUUGGGAGGAAUACCGGUGGCGAAGGCGACCGCCUGGACGGGUACUGACACUGAGGCGCGAAAGCGUGGGGAGCAAACAGGAUUAGAUACCCCGGUAGUCC